AGCCUCGAGAAGCAAAGCUGUUUAAGAAGGAAAGUAUGGUCAACUAUAGAGGGCUGCCAGGGCAAGUAAGAUGAUGACAGAGGUUUAGAAGCUGGAAGUCAUUGGUGACCUCUUGAUGGGAAUGGCUUUGGUAGUGGGCUGGGGACAGAUGCCUCAGCUGCUUAUAACCCCGGUUCUUGGCAAUAAGAACCUUGGCUUUCCUGCUGGGAUACUGGAUGCAAUCUAUUGGACAGCAUCUUACCAACACUGGCUGUGGCUGAGAAGUGAAGCAAGGAAGGCGAAGGCAAUCUGUGGAGAUAGAGACAAGCUGCCUGCUGGUGACCUUGAAGUGGCUAGUGGGGGUGGAGGGAAAGACAACUUGUUGAAAAGUUUGGCCUUGAGGGAGAGAGAGAGACAGGAUAGUUGCUGGAGAAGGUGGGUGGUAGAGGGUAUGUUUGGACUGAGGGAAGAAUGGAAGGGGAGCAGGUACGUCUUUAGGCUUGGGGAGGUGGGAAUGAAGUGCACCUACGCAUGCAUUGCCUGGAUUUUGCUUAGGGUUCUAGUCCCUCGUGGUGACAGAACCUGGUUUGGAAUAUUCUCCCUAUUAUCAUCUCGGCGCUGGGCCCCAACUCACAUCGCACCCGCAGAUGCCCUUAGGAGCCCUGGGGGAGAUCACCUCCAUGUACUUCAACACACAAAAAAUACGAGUGGCAGCGCUUCAGUGAGGACUGUCUGUACCUGAGUGUGUGCGGGCCAGUGUAAGUGCAUGGGAACCCUCUACUACCGCUGAGUACUCAGCCUCUCACCAUGCACCAUCCCACUCAGGCACUCCACUGUCCCGCUCUCUCCCAGGUGAUGGUCUGGUUCCCAGGAGGUGCCUUUCUCGUGGGCUCCGCUUCCAUGUGCGAUGGCUCGGAAUUUUUCGCCUGAGAAAAAGUGGUGCUCCGGGAGUUCCCGUCGUGGCACAGUGGUUAACGAAUCCGACUAGGAACCAUGAGGUUCGGGUUCGGUCCCUGCCCUUGCUCAGUGGGUUAACGAUCCGGCGUUGCCAUGAGCUGUGGUGUAGGUUGCAGACGCAGCUCGGAUCCCGCGUUGCUGUGGCUCUGGCGUAGGCCGGUGGCUGCAGCUCCGAUUCGACCCCUAGCCUGGGAACCUCCAUAUGCUGCGGGAGCGGCCCAAAGAAAUAGCAAAAAGACAAAAAAAAAGAAAAAGAAAAAGUGGGAAGGGGCCUCCUCUGGGAGGGGGAGUCGAGGACCGGGUAGACGGGAAGGGGCGUGGCCUGUGGGGGCCUAUCCGCUAGAGCGGCUUGACAGGGCGUGGUCCAAUGUUUGUUGGACAAGCACUGGGCACCGCUUCACAGGGGCGGAGCCCAACUAUGAGGAAGGGGAUGCAGUGGGGAGACCGUGUCUCUGAGGGACAGGACAGGUCGAGGCGGGAGCCCACAGCACCCAGGCACUUGGGCUCCGGACCCUGAUCAUGAGCCCUGCGCUCAGCAUGGGCGACAGCCAGGCCGCGGGAACUGGGCACUAUUGGACCAAGCUGAGGCUCUGCGCUGGAUUCAGGAGAACAUCGAAGGCUUCGGAGGAGAUCCGACCUGUGUGACUUUGGCCAGUCAUAGGGGGCCAUGUGCAUCUCGGGACUGAUGAGUGCAGUAACCAGAUAAACUCAGGCACAGAUGCAGGCUCGCAUGUUCUUAUGUGUUCUGCGUAGAUUACAUGUGAAGAUUUGCGUGUAUAAGAACGUUCUGGUCCGCAGACCUGCCCUCACCCCUGCCGUGGGUACUGCCCCUCACAGCCAAGGAUGUCCGUUCCAUUCAGUGGGUGGCCCUGGUGAGAAAACCAAGCCAGCCCAGGAUGGGCAAUUCUGAGACUAUGGAUACUCAGCCAAUCAGUUGUGGGCCAGAAAGAUACACCGCACUUCCUGCCUCACCACGUUCCCCCCAGAGCUCUAUGCCCAGAAUAGAGCCCACCAUCUGCCCUCUCAACAGGGUUGGGGCCACAGACUAGGCCUGAGUCAGGCCUGGGUUAGAGACUAGGCUUUGCCUCUGACUCCUGGGGCACUGCUGAUGUGGAGUGUCCCUGGAGUGCAAUUGUGAUAAGGUCAGGUGUCCUGUGAGGGACAUAUGGCUAGGCAGUGAUCAGGGACCACAUCGCACAAGGUCUUGUGGCCCACAGUGAUUAUACUCAAAAAACUUGAGCAUGUUCUAUGUGCCAGACUCUUUUCCAAGCAUUUAUAUAUAUUCAUUCAUUAAAUCCCCUCA
RNAcentral lists this long non-coding RNA (2239 nucleotides) under Sus scrofa (pig). RNAcentral's name for it is "lncRNA (ENSSSCG00000059433.1)". Lineage: Eukaryota; Metazoa; Chordata; Mammalia; Artiodactyla; Suidae. The record is from RNAcentral.